CGUAGGGUGCGAGCGUUAAUCGGAAUUACUGGGCGUAAAGCGUGCGCAGGCGGUUUUGUAAGACAGGCGUGAAAUCCCCCGGGCUCAACCUGGGGACUGCGCUUGUGACUGCAAGGCUAGAGUACGGCAGAGGGGGGUGGAAUUCCACGUGUAGCAGUGAAAUGCGUAGAGAUGUGGAGGAACACCAAUGGCGAAGGCAGCCCCCUGGGUCGAUACUGACGCUCAUGCACGAAAGCGUGGGUAGCAAACAGGAUUAGAUACCCUGGUAGUCCACGCCCUAAACGAUGUCAACUAGGUGUUGGUGGGUAAAACCAUUUAGUACCGGAGCUAACGCGUGAAGUUGACCGCCUGGGGAGUACGGCCGCAAGGUUA
RNAcentral lists this ribosomal RNA (372 nucleotides) under uncultured organism. RNAcentral's name for it is "bacterial SSU rRNA". It matches the Rfam family "Bacterial small subunit ribosomal RNA", at positions 526 to 896 of the family's 1533-position model. The record is from RNAcentral.